GAUCAUGGCUCAGGAUGAACGCUGGCGGCGUGCCUAACACAUGCAAGUCGAACGGAGAUGCGAUGUGAGCGAGAGGUGCUUGCACUGAACAAUUUUUUCGUAUCUUAGUGGCGGACGGGUGAGUAACGCGUGGGUAACCUGCCUUAUACCGGGGGAUAACACUUAGAAAUAGGUGCUAAUACCGCAUAAGCGCACGGUGUCGCAUGACACAGUGUGAAAAACUCCGGUGGUAUAAGA
RNAcentral lists this ribosomal RNA (237 nucleotides) under uncultured bacterium. Its description in RNAcentral is "partial 16S ribosomal RNA". It matches the Rfam family "Bacterial small subunit ribosomal RNA", at positions 15 to 225 of the family's 1533-position model. The record is from RNAcentral.